GAUGAAGAACGCAGCGAAAUGCGAUAAGUAAUGCGAAUUGCAGAAUCCGUGAGUCAUCGAAUCUUUGAACGCACAUUGCGCCCUCUGGUAUUCCGGAGGGCAUGCCUGUUCGAGCGUCAUUAUCACCCCUCAAGCCCGGCUUGUUGUUGGAUGCAGCGCUUAUCCCGCUCCUCCCAAAGAUAAUGACGGCGUCUGCGACGACUCCUGUACACUGAGCUUUCGGGCACGUACACGGCUAGAAGUCCAGACACGGUCGCCGUCCCCCCCGCGGGUACACCCAUUACCACAAGGUUGACCUCGGAUCAGGUAGGAAUACCCGCUGAACUUAAGCAUAUCAAUAAGCGGAGGA
This 349-nucleotide unclassified non-coding RNA is filed under the name soil metagenome. Its description in RNAcentral is "partial contains 5.8S ribosomal RNA, internal transcribed spacer 2, and large subunit ribosomal RNA". The stretch from base 1 to 119 matches the Rfam family "5.8S ribosomal RNA", at positions 35 to 154 of the family's 154-position model. The record is from RNAcentral.